RNAcentral lists this ribosomal RNA (345 nucleotides) under uncultured bacterium. Its description in RNAcentral is "partial 16S ribosomal RNA". It matches the Rfam family "Bacterial small subunit ribosomal RNA", at positions 338 to 680 of the family's 1533-position model. The record is from RNAcentral.
CCUACGGGUGGCAGCAGGGAGGAAUAUUGGUCAAUGGGCGCGAGCCGGAACCAGCCAAGUAGCGUGAAGGAUGACUGCCCUACGGGGUGUAAACUUCGUUUAUAAAGGAAUAAAGUGAGGCACGUGUGCCUUUUUGUAUGUACUUUAUGAAUAAGGAUCGGCUAACUCCGUGCCAGCAGCCGCGGUAAUACGGAGGAUCCGAGCGUUAUCCGGAUUUAUUGGGUUUAAAGGGAGCGUAGAGGGGUUGUUAAGUCAGUUGUGAUAGUUUGCGGCUCAACCGUAAAAUUGCAAUUGAUACUGGCAGUCUUGCGUACCGUUGAGGUAGGCGCACUUCGUGGUGUAGCG